Molecule: non-coding RNA, 148 nt
Filed under: Virgibacillus necropolis
Lineage: Bacteria; Bacillati; Bacillota; Bacilli; Caryophanales; Bacillaceae
Description: FMN sequence
Rfam family: FMN riboswitch aptamer (RFN element)
About the family: The RFN element is a highly conserved domain that is found frequently in the 5'-untranslated regions of prokaryotic mRNAs that encode for flavin mononucleotide (FMN) biosynthesis and transport proteins. This element is a metabolite-dependent riboswitch that directly binds FMN in the absence of proteins. In Bacillus subtilis, the riboswitch most likely controls gene expression by causing premature transcription termination within the 5' untranslated region of the ribDEAHT operon and precluding access to the ribosome-binding site of ypaA mRNA.
Source: Rfam by way of RNAcentral
UUCUAUCUUCGGGGCAGGGUGCAAUUCCCGACCGGCGGUGAUGAACGUAUGUUGUUCUAAGUCCGUGACCCGCAAUGCAUUAAGCAGAGCGGUGGAUCUGGUGAAAUUCCAGAGCCGACAGUUAAAGUCUGGAUGGGAGAAGAUUAUA